AUUGAACGCUGGCGGCAGGCCUAACACAUGCAAGUCGAGCGGAUGAGAGGAGCUUGCUCUUUGAUUCAGCGGCGGACGGGUGAGUAAUGCCUAGGAAUCUGCCUGGUAGUGGGGGAUAACGUUCGGAAACGGACGCUAAUACCGCAUACGUCCUACGGGAGAAAGCAGGGGACCUUCGGGCCUUGCGCUAUCAGAUGAGCCUAGGUCGGAUUAGCUAGUUGGUGAGGUAAUGGCUCACCAAGGCGACGAUCCGUAACUGGUCUGAGAGGAUGAUCAGUCACACUGGAACUGAGACACGGUCCAGACUCCUACGGGUGGCAG
This 321-nucleotide ribosomal RNA is filed under the name uncultured Pseudomonadota bacterium. RNAcentral's name for it is "bacterial SSU rRNA". It matches the Rfam family "Bacterial small subunit ribosomal RNA", at positions 30 to 351 of the family's 1533-position model. Lineage: Bacteria; Pseudomonadati; Pseudomonadota. The record is from RNAcentral.